UACAUAGGGUGCGAGCGUUAAUCGGAAUUACUGGGCGUAAAGCGUGCGCAGGCGGUUCGUUGUGUCGGUGGUGAAAUCCCCGGGCUUAACCUGGGAAUGGCCAUGGAAACUGGCGAACUGGAGUGCGGCAGAGGGGGGUGGAAUUCCGCGUGUAGUGGUGAAAUGCGUAGAGAUGCGGAGGAACACCAGUGGCGAAAGCGACUUUCUGGUCCUUAACUGACGCUGAGGCGCGAAAGCAUGGGGAGCGAACGGG
This 253-nucleotide ribosomal RNA is filed under the name uncultured bacterium. RNAcentral describes it as "partial 16S ribosomal RNA". It matches the Rfam family "Bacterial small subunit ribosomal RNA", at positions 524 to 776 of the family's 1533-position model. The record is from RNAcentral.